RNAcentral lists this long non-coding RNA (1268 nucleotides) under Populus trichocarpa (black cottonwood). RNAcentral describes it as "long non-coding RNA (PTRI_LNC001869)". The record is from RNAcentral. Lineage: Eukaryota; Viridiplantae; Streptophyta; Magnoliopsida; Malpighiales; Salicaceae.
CAAUAAAUUAAAUAAUUUUUAUAUAUUCAGUUUUUAUUAUUAUUAUUAUUUUAUAAAGAUACAAUUAUUACUAACACCACAAAUAUAAGUCAACAAAGAUUAUUGACAUAUACAUCAUUAAACACAUAAAUAACAAAAAUAUUCAUCAUUCUUUUUUGUGUUUGAAAUUGACUUGGGGUAAAAAUUAGAAAAAGUGGCUGGAAAGUUGACUGAACCACGUGUCGAGAAUGUGUAUCACGCGCGGGAUAAUUGGGUUGUUGGAUUGUGGAGCGCGUGUUUCUCAUGCGACAAUAUUAACACCUGCAAAACAAUAGAAACCGUGAUUGAAGAAAAAAAAAACUGAUCUAACCCUAUACUCCUCCUUCGCUAAGACUUUCCAGCCAAUGAUUUGGGUAUGAGCGGGGGCUUGUCCAGAAACGAAACCCACGACGGUUGAGGGAUGUUGUGUUGGGUCUGUUUUUUGGGUUUUGUUGAUGUUGAAUCUGGAGGAUAGAUCGGGGAAGAUGUGAGGGCUGCUGGUUCGGCUCACUGUAUAAGACUACUGGGUCAUCGGUUGGAGGAGAUGAGUGAUGGUUGAUUUUUUUUACAGUGUCUCACUACUUUGGGUUGUUGGAGGAGGCAAUAAGGGUGGUUGUUGAAGAUGGUGGCUCAAAGCUGCUGUGAGAGGCGGAGACACUGUAAUUGGGAGAUGGUGGCAGAUUCGGGCUAAAAAGGAGACUGGAUUAGGUUAUUGGUGGGGGGGUUGAAGGAUGGUUGGUUUACUGGAAGUGGCUAUAAAGAUGGUCGGGGAACUGGAUUUUUCCAUUGUUCUUUCUCUGGUUCUGUAUGCCCUGUGCUAGUCUCCUUUUUCUUUUUAAUCGCCCCUUUGGAAUCAGAGGCAGCGGAAGUUUUGGAAUUUGGAUGCUGGAAAUUUGGGAUUUUGAUUUCGAUUGCUGGAAUUUGGGAGCUAAAAAUAUGGGAUUGAGGAGCUGAAAACAUGCUUUGGUUUUAUUGUUGAGACUGCUUGAUUGAAAGAUCUGAAAUUAAUUGCUGGAUUGCUUGAUUUGAAUGGAUUCUAGACUAAAUUGAAUUAAUUUGGAUAAAAUCAAUGUACUGGAUUGGGCUGAAUUGAGUUAAUUGAAAACAAUUGGACUGGAAUGGAAUUAAUUGGACUGGUUGAUUGGAAGAAAAACAACUAGGACUAAAAUGAAGUUAUAUAAAUAGUCAAUUGGUCAUUGGAAUAUUUCUCCCUUCCUUGGCUUUUGAUUUUUUCCAAUUUAAUUCAAUUA